Molecule: ribosomal RNA, 294 nt
Filed under: uncultured bacterium
Lineage: Bacteria
Description: partial 16S ribosomal RNA
Rfam family: Bacterial small subunit ribosomal RNA
Source: RNAcentral
GGAUUAGAUACCCUGGUAGUCCACGCUGUAAACGAUGUCAACUAGCCGUUGGGGAUCUUAGUAUCUUUAGUGGCGUAGCUAACGCGCUAAGUUGACCGCCUGGGGAGUACGGUCGCAAGAUUAAAACUCAAAUGAAUUGACGGGGGCCCGCACAAGCGGUGGAGCAUGUGGUUUAAUUCGACGCAACGCGAAGAACCUUACCUGGUCUUGACAUCCUCAGAACUUUCCAGAGAUGGAUUGGUGCCUUCGGGAACUGAGUGACAGGUGCUGCAUGGCUGUCGUCAGCUCGUGCCG